UGGAUAACCGUGGUAAUUCUAGAGCUAAUACAUGCUAAAAACCCCGACUUCGGGAGGGGUGUAUUUAUUAGAUAAAAAACCAAUGCCCUUCGGGGCUCCUUGGUGAAUCAUAAUAACUUAACGAAUCGCAUGGCCUUGCGCCGGCGAUGGUUCAUUCAAAUUUCUGCCCUAUCAACUUUCGAUGGUAGGAUAGUGGCCUACCAUGGUAUCAACGGGUAACGGGGAAUUAGGGUUCUAUUCCGGAGAGGGAGCCUGAGAAACGGCUACCACAUCCAAGGAAGGCAGCAGGCGCGCAAAUUACCCAAUCCCGACACGGGGAGGUAGUGACAAUAAAUACUGAUACAGGGCUCUUUUGGGUCUUGUAAUUGGAAUGAGUACAAUUUAAAUCCCUUAACGAGGAACAAUUGGAGGGCAAGUCUGGUGCCAGCAGCCGCGGUAAUUCCAGCUCCAAUAGCGUAUAUUAAAGUUGUUGCAGUUAAAAAGCUCGUAGUUGAACCUUGGGCCUGGCUGGCCGGUCCGCCUCACCGCGUGUACUGGUCCGGCCGGGCCUUUCCUUCUGGGGAGCCGCAUGGCCUUCACUGGCCGUGUCGGGGAACCAGGACUUUUACUUUGAAAAAAUUAGAGUGUUCAAAGCAGGCCUUUGCUCGAAUACAUUAGCAUGGAAUAAUAGAAUAGGACGUGCGAUCCUAUUUUGUUGGUUUCUAGGACCGCCGUAAUGAUUAAUAGGGAUAGUCGGGGGCAUCAGUAUUCAAUUGUCAGAGGUGAAAUUCUUGGAUUUAUUGAAGACUAACUACUGCGAAAGCAUUUGCCAAGGAUGUUUUCAUUAAUCAGUGAACGAAAGUUAGGGGAUCGAAGACGAUCAGAUACCGUCGUAGUCUUAACCAUAAACUAUGCCGUCUAGGGAUCGGUGGAUUUUACU
Molecule: ribosomal RNA, 919 nt
Filed under: Hortaea werneckii
Lineage: Eukaryota; Fungi; Ascomycota; Dothideomycetes; Mycosphaerellales; Teratosphaeriaceae
Description: SSU rRNA
Rfam family: Eukaryotic small subunit ribosomal RNA
Source: RNAcentral